CUCUGAGCCUCAGCUUGCCAUGCUGAGUCAUGGUGAAAGGUCUCCGAGUCUACAGGCCAAAGCCACUGGUCCUCUCAUGACCGCAGUGAUUUCCAUGGAACAGUGUCAUACACCGAUGGCCCUUCUGAUAUGUGGGCCCCUGGGAGCAUGUGAAUGGAUCAAGACCAAGAGGACUACUGGGACAUAAUUGCUAAGCACGACUUCAUGCUCCUGGGGGCUAUCAGAAAAGACCAGGUGCCAUUGCACCACUGCAGAAACACACACACACCCCAGCCAACUUCCUGCAACUGCUGAAACUCCAUGGGCCAAAGAGCAAGUUGCCUUCCUUUCUGCUUCCUUCUCCAGAAGUCCUGGCUUAAAAAAUGUCUGUGUGAGGCAGCAGCAUGGUGACUACAUGCCUUGUCUUUCUUGGCAGACAUAGCUGUGCCUUCCAACAAGGAAAAUCACAAGUACCACAUUACGGCUCCGGGACAGGAAAAACUUCCCCUAAUUCACCAAACAUCCGGGUGCCUGCUUUGGGCUGCGCCGGGCCCUCUGCUACGAACUGGGGCUGAAGAGAGGAGUCACUGUCAUGACUUUACGGUCCUAGACACUAAAACCAUAAUAGAUUCUUGGGAACCCCCGCCAUGCUCACAAAUAACUCUUUCUACCAGGCCUGAGGGAGUCAAGAGAGAAGCAAAAACAAAGGAUCAGAGCGGGGCCAACUGCAGGGCCCGCAGAAGACCUAUGGGAGGCAGGCCUGGAAGGAUGAGCACACCUUCCCGGCUAGCUCAGCCCUUACACCUGCAUUGAGAAAGGCACCCCAUCCACCUGACUCAAGGAAGUGGAGACUCACUUCACCUACUGGCUCAAAAGAGACAGGGUAACAACAGUGGCAGCAAUACCAGCAGGCCUGGGUUGUGUAGCCACCAUUUACUGAGCACUUACAAUGACACUGUGCUAGGCAGUUCUUAUUUAUAACCUUAACACUCACUCCCACCCAUCCAGUAGAGAGGCUUACUACACACACACACACACACACACACACACACACACGCAAUUUACUGAUGGAGAAAAUAAAGCUCAGAGAAGUUAAGUCACUAGCUCAACAUCACACACCCAAUAAGUAGCAGGACUGGGAUUCCAAAACCUGGGCUGACUACAAUAUCCACAAUGUGACCCCACUCUUGAACAGAACUAGAGCUGGACCCCAGGAGCCAGAGGUCCACAUCAGGCCCAGCCUAGCACCCAGAGAUGGGCGCACAGUCCAGGCCACAAAGCCACAGAACUUUGCUGACUGCUGUCAGCGCUGCUGCAGCCUAAGCACACCUCCUACAUACACUGAAAAUACACGCUCAACCGCCACACAGGCUUCCAAUGCACGCUCACACGUGUGCUCAGGCAUGCGCUUUCUCACUCUUGCUUGCGCACUCCCACCCCUGAGUAUGCACAUACACACAUGGACUGGCCAGAAUUUCAGCAGAGACCUAGUUCCUUCACCUGGUGUGAUUUGGACUGUUGAAAAGUUAAAUGAAAAAUGUGGUUAAAGCAGGAAUCCAUAUAAAAGGAACUUAAAACAAACACAUGCACCUGUAAAGGUGUAUGUAAAUGUGCACUCAUCUGCCAGUCUACUGAUACACACCAGCCAAAGCCUCUUCUUGGAAUCUGGGGAUACUGGGCAUGGUGACACGUGCCUAAAUUUCCAGCUACUCGGGGGGCUGAGGUGUGAGGAUCACUUGAGCCCAG
This 1725-nucleotide long non-coding RNA is filed under the name Homo sapiens (human). Its description in RNAcentral is "HSALNT0223108". The record is from RNAcentral. Lineage: Eukaryota; Metazoa; Chordata; Mammalia; Primates; Hominidae.